CUUGCUCCCAUAAGAGGUCCAGCCUGCCCAGUGACCCGAUUCAACGGCCGCGGUAUCCUAACCGUGCUAAGGUAGCGUAAUCACUCGUUUUCUAAAUAAAAACUAGUAUGAAAGGCACCACGAGAAUUAAACUGUCUCCCUUUUCCAAUCAGUAAACCUAAUCUCCCCGUGAAGAAGCGGGGAUCACCUAAUAAGACGAGAAGACCCUAUGGAGCUUUAAACACUAUAAUCACUUAAUCCAAUUCACACACCCAGGUGCACUCACCCACAUAUAAUGAUUAUAUGUUUUUGGUUGGGGUGACCGCGGAGAAUAAACCAUCCCCCGCGAUGAAAGGGCCCCCCCCCCCAACAACAAGCCACAGCUUUAUGUAUCAACAAAUUGACACCAUUGACCCAAUAUUUUUGAUUAACGAAC
Molecule: ribosomal RNA, 415 nt
Filed under: Pristimantis adiastolus
Lineage: Eukaryota; Metazoa; Chordata; Amphibia; Anura; Strabomantidae
Description: partial large subunit ribosomal RNA
Rfam family: Bacterial large subunit ribosomal RNA
Source: RNAcentral